This 364-nucleotide ribosomal RNA is filed under the name uncultured bacterium. Its description in RNAcentral is "bacterial SSU rRNA". It matches the Rfam family "Bacterial small subunit ribosomal RNA", at positions 1018 to 1383 of the family's 1533-position model. The record is from RNAcentral.
CUUCGGGGCAGGGGAGACAGGUGGUGCAUGGUUGUCGUCAGCUCGUGUCGUGAGAUGUUGGGUUAAGUCCCGCAACGAGCGCAACCCUUAUCCUUAGUAGCCAGCAGUAAGAUGGGAACUCUAGGGAGACUGCCGGGGAUAACCCGGAGGAAGGUGGGGAUGACGUCAAAUCAUCAUGCCCCUUAUGACCAGGGCUACACACGUGCUACAAUGGCGUAAACAAAGGGAGGCGAGACCGCGAGGUAGAGCAAAUCCCAAAAAUAACGUCUCAGUUCGGAUUGUAGUCUGCAACUCGACUACAUGAAGCUGGAAUCGCUAGUAAUCGCAGAUCAGAAUGCUGCGGUGAAUACGUUCCCGGGUCUUG